CGUUACAGGUUCUCGGUGUGCUUCUGC
This 27-nucleotide ribosomal RNA is filed under the name Monilinia laxa. RNAcentral's name for it is "partial 28S ribosomal RNA". Lineage: Eukaryota; Fungi; Ascomycota; Leotiomycetes; Helotiales; Sclerotiniaceae. The record is from RNAcentral.